AACGCACAUUGCGCCCCUUGGUAUUCCGAGGGGCAUGCCUGUCCGAGCGUCAUUUCAACCCUCAAGCACGGCUUGGUCUUGGGCUUCGCUGCUAACCCAGCGGGUCUUAAAAUCAGUGGCGGUGCCGUCGGGCCCUGAGCGCAGUACAUCUCCUCGCUAUAGGGUCCCGGUGGAUACUAGCCAUCAACCCCCAACUUCUAUGGUUGACCUCGGAUCAGGUAGGGAUACCCGCUGAACUUAA
RNAcentral lists this unclassified non-coding RNA (241 nucleotides) under uncultured fungus. Its description in RNAcentral is "sequence contains ITS2". The stretch from base 1 to 52 matches the Rfam family "5.8S ribosomal RNA", at positions 103 to 154 of the family's 154-position model. Lineage: Eukaryota; Fungi. The record is from RNAcentral.